GUUGUUGUCACAGCCCGGCCUGCCCCAACCUGCCUCAUAGGAAGCAUCGGAGACACUCCACCAGCUUCACCCAUGGCUUCCCUCAACCUGGGGCCAAGGCAGCAUCUGGUGCAGAGCUGAGGCAGGGGAGAGAUGUCCUUGGAGCCAACAUACGUGUUUAGCCUGGAUCCUCUGUGCCUGAGCAACUCAGGCUUCUUCCACGUGGCAGGGGCAGGGUGAGGCCACAGACAGCUCCAGCUCACAUCAACCCAGCUAAUGGCUUCACAGGAAAGAGGGAAGCAAAAUCCCAGAGAAGUCUGAUUGGCCCAGCCUGGAUCUCAUGGCUGUGGGCAGCGGAAAAGCUGAGGGAGCUGGAGAACAGCUGCCAUCCUCUCCCUGCUCGCAUCUGUUCUGCCUCAUUCCAAAGGGAGCCAAUGGCUAAAGGGGGCCUGUAUUGGUCAGGCCCUGCAGAGAAACAGAACCCAUAGGUUGUGUAUGCAUGUAUAGGUAGGUAGGGAGACAGAGAGUGGGGAGAGAGAGAUUCGAGAAAUUGGCUCAUGUGAUUACAGAGGCUGGCAAGGCCAAAAUUUGCAGGGUGGGUGAUACAGUUUGGCUGUGUCCCCACCCAAAUCUCAUCUUGAAUUGUAGCUCCCAUAAUUCCCAUGUGUCAUGGGAAGGACCCCAUGGGAGGUAAUUGAAUCAUGGGGCUGAGUCUUUCCCAUGUUGUUCUCAUGAUAGUGAAUAAGUCUCAGGAGAUCUGAUGGUUUUAUAAAAGGGACUUCCCUGCACAAGCUCCCUCUUGCCUGCUGCCAUGGAAGACAUGCCUUUGCUCCUUUGCCUUCCACUGUGAUUGUGAGGCCUCCCCAGCCUCGUGGAACUGUCAGUCCAUUAAACCUCUUUUUCUUUAUAAA
This 890-nucleotide long non-coding RNA is filed under the name Pongo abelii (Sumatran orangutan). RNAcentral describes it as "lincRNA". Lineage: Eukaryota; Metazoa; Chordata; Mammalia; Primates; Hominidae. The record is from RNAcentral.